CUACGGGAGGCAGCAGUGGGGAAUUUUCCGCAAUGGGCGAAAGCCUGACGGAGCAACGCCGCGUGAGGGAUGAAGGCCUCUGGGCUGUAAACCUCUUUUAUCAAGGAAGAAGAUCUGACGGUACUUGAUGAAUAAGCCACGGCUAAUUCCGUGCCAGCAGCCGCGGUAAUACGGGAGUGGCAAGCGUUAUCCGGAAUUAUUGGGCGUAAAGCGUCCGCAGGCGGUCUUUUAAGUCUGCUGUUAAAGCGUGGAGCUUAACUCCAUUUCAGCAAUGGAAACUGGAAGACUAGAGUGUGGUAGGGGCAGAGGGAAUUCCCGGUGUAGCGGUGAAAUGCGUAGAUAUCUGGAAGAACACCAGUAGCGAAGGCGGCUUUCUGGCGUGAUACUGACGCUGAAGCGCGAAGGCUAGGGGAGCAAACAGGAUUAGAUACCCUGGUAGUCCUAGCGGUAAACGAUGGGCACUAGGUGUCGGAGGGCGUUGACCCCUUCGGUGCCGCAGCUAACGCAUUAAGUGCCCCGCCUGGGGAGUACGAUCGCAAGAUUGAAACUCAAAG
This 554-nucleotide ribosomal RNA is filed under the name uncultured bacterium. Its description in RNAcentral is "bacterial SSU rRNA". It matches the Rfam family "Bacterial small subunit ribosomal RNA", at positions 339 to 906 of the family's 1533-position model. The record is from RNAcentral.